Molecule: long non-coding RNA, 248 nt
Filed under: Theropithecus gelada (gelada)
Lineage: Eukaryota; Metazoa; Chordata; Mammalia; Primates; Cercopithecidae
Description: lncRNA (ENSTGEG00000020100.1)
Source: RNAcentral
CGCCCGCCCUGGAGUGCCCUCCCAGCGGAAGAAAGGCCGCCAGCGGCCCUCCGCGCCCGGCCAAGCGGUCACUCCCGCCAAGAAAUUCUCAUUCCUCAGGAAGUUGUGCGGUGACCCAGCUGAGGGGCCCCCGACUCCCCAGGCUCCACUCAGGACCAUGAGCGCAGGCUUCCCUGGGGCCCACCGAGGGCUGAGGAUGGCCGUCCAGCCCACUACCCGGGGCCCCACUCGGACAGCUGCAUCGUCCU